ACGAAACUCCGGCUGCAGCGUCUCAGGUCCCUGCGGAGGCCAGGGCUGGGUCCCUGGCCUGGCUCAGUGGGUUACAGGACCUGCGUUGCCACAGCUAUGACGUGGGUCACAGAUGCGGCUCAGAUUUGAUUCCUGGUCCGGGAACUUCCAUGCGCUGUGGGUACAGCCAUGGUAAUAAUAAUUAUUAUUAUUUUCUUCCUGUGGUGGAGUACUAAGCACAGCCCAUACUUUAAAAAGUCUAGCCAGUGUUUUAUUUAUGUAUGUAUUUUUUCCUUUCCAGGGCCAAAGUUGUGGCAUGUGGAAGUUCCAGGGCUAGGGGUCCAAUCAGAGCUGCAGCCACCGGCCCACGCCUCAGCCACAGCAACGUCAGAUUGGAGCCUCAUCUGCGCCCUAUGCCACAGCUCUCAGCACCCCCGGAUCCUUAAUCCCCUGAGCGAGGCCAGGGAUCGAAUCCGCCUCCUCACAGUUAGUAGGUUUGUUACUGCUGAGCCACAGUGGGAACUCCUUAAACAUCUAGUCAGUAUUUUAAAUGAGACUGAGGGCUCUGCCCUAAGUUGCCACUUGGGUUCUAAAAGGAAACUGUGGACUUCCAGCUGUUUCCUCUCAACGGAGACGCAUCCAGGUCUGUGGUGACCUCAGCCCGGAAAGCAUUGGAUCCAGGCCUUUUCUACAGUUUCGGCAUCGCCAGGACCCAGCUUCUGAAACCCUGCUCUUCGUCCGUCGUUUCCAGUAGAUGAGGAAGUGCCAGGGAAGAAAGGUGUCCCCGUGGGCUGUGCAUGGGGACAGAAAGGGAGCGCUUGGUGCAGUGGCUAAUCCACCAGUGCCUGGAACUGGAGAAUCACUUACGGCGCGGGCUGUUGACUUACACGUAUUUGCUGAGCGCUGGGCAUUGGUGCUGUGUGCGGAAGACCAACGAAAAACCCAGCCAGGUACCCCUGACACCCCACCAGCUGCCCAGGGGAAACGGCUCACAGGGAAACGGCUCUGCAGGUGGGGAAGGGCCUCGGGUGUCUGAUGAGAACCAGGAACCCCACUGGACAUGUGUGGUUCUCACCACACUCUGUGCUGGAUGCCUGGAGGAAUCAUGUCCACGCCAGGGUGGUACCGUCAGAGGGGUGGGUGACUCCUGAGUGGAAUUUACUCUAGAUGAAAAUCUCCAGGGAUUAUACCUCUGAGCAUCUUUGCAGACACAGAAACCGGAGAAUCUGAACUUUUUUUUUUCAUUUUUAUUGGCCACAGUGUGCAGUGGCUUGAUGUGGGACUCAUCAGUUCUCAACCAGGGACUGAACUCAGGCUGCCGCAGUGAAAGCGCCAAGUCCUAACCACUAGACCACCAGAGAACCCUGGAGGAUCCUAAGUUUUGACUCCCGUGGGCCAGAAAAGUGCGCUGGGGCUGGAUGUCGGGUGUGCUGUGGACACAGGGACCUGGUUCCAGGACGGGCGCGGAGCUCCAGGGUCUGAGGUGGCUCACUGGGGACAUGCGGCAAGUUUGGAGACAAAGGUCAGAGUGAGCCAGGCAUGGGAGCGACUGGGUUUAAGAUCAAAGACGACUGGAGACGAAGGCUCUGUCGCCUCCCCUGGACUCGGGCAGAGCUGCUCCACCUGCUGUGAGGGGCCGCACAGGCGCUCUGCCCGCACCUGAUUCCACUUCAGGUUGAAAAGCAGGUCGGCUUCUCCCAGGGGAUCCGUGCACACUCAACACUGUGAGCAGCCGGCCCCCUGCGGCCAUGACUCAGAGGCUCCUGAAAGCUGCCUUUGUCACGGUCCUGCAGCAAGUCACAGCUCGAGGGUCCGGGAGGAAAAGCUGAAACUCUAGAGGCUGUGGUUUUGUGCUUUAGGUUUAUUUCGGGAUGGUGAUAAAGGCCUUGAAUCCCCAGGGAUGCCAGAUAGCGCCAGGCUGUGCUUGAGCUCUGAAAGGCAGCCUGGCACUGCUGCGGGGGAAGGGCUCGAGGCCUGGCCUUGCAGCAGGAUUUCGAGGCCGGUGUCAGAGAAGAGGUGGAGACAGGAGAGGACCCAGGCGAUGAGAGGAAAACGCAGAUCUCAGGGCGGGGAGGGCCCGGCCGGCAGGGCUGUCCUGGAGGGCAGGCCAAGGCGCGGCCUCACUCUGGAUUCCUGAUCAGGAGCUGAGAACCUACUGCUGGCUGCUGAGAGCAAAUCAUUUGCAAAGUGUUGAUUUAUUUUUGUUGUGAAAAUGAAUAAACAGAAACCUCAUUUAAAAUGCA
Molecule: long non-coding RNA, 2222 nt
Filed under: Sus scrofa (pig)
Lineage: Eukaryota; Metazoa; Chordata; Mammalia; Artiodactyla; Suidae
Description: lncRNA (ENSSSCG00035002225.1, ENSSSCG00055019174.1, ENSSSCG00065069330.1)
Source: RNAcentral